This is a long non-coding RNA of Equus caballus (horse), 2115 nucleotides long. Lineage: Eukaryota; Metazoa; Chordata; Mammalia; Perissodactyla; Equidae. The record is from Ensembl.
GUUCUGGUUCGGUUGGUGCCUCUAGCAAGGCUGGGGAACCCGCUGCCGUGCGGGUCUCUUGUUCUGUACGGCACUCAAACAGGCCUCAGAGAUGGAGAGUCUGCAUGGCUGGGAAGGGGCCUUCGAUCCUCCUUUAUCUUCUGCUUCCAGGUACAUAGAAUCACCUGGCUUGUUGUGGGGAGAGAAAGGACCCUUUUUUCCAGCGUCUCUUAGCUCAUUUCUGAGAGGAAGAAUUAGUAUUCGGGUCAGAUUCCAGGACACAUAUCUAUCAGAGGGAGCUGAGGACAAUGGGCACAACACCUCAAAGAGAAGCCUCUACCCCAGCCUCGUGAGAGACCUCAGACCCUCAGCUGCAGCUGAAACAGGGCAAGCCACCUCCUGAGGAAGGAAGCCUUUGUAACACCAGAAAUGAGGACGACUCUAAGGGGAGCUGGAGGACGGAUCACAGUCAGGGCUGAGCUCUCAGCAAUCUUCACCUGAACUGACCCAGGAUGUCAGAGAAUGGGGGAAGACGCCCGAGGAGGGAAGCUGUGGCUGGGUGGUGGUGUCACUCAUAACCCUGAUUCCCAGGGUCACCAAGGCCAACAAGUUGUCAAUGAAGCAGUAGUCUUUCCCAGGCUGUGCAGAGCCCCCAGCCACGCCUCCUCCUGUCCUCGCAGGUGUUGGCCUCUCUGCUGGGCCCCAGAGGGACGAUGGGAAAGGAAGAAGAGGAUGACCUUAUUUCUAGAAACUCUUAUCAGUGCAGAAGAAAGUGGAGAGAGCACAUGGACUCCAGCAGAACCAGGAAUUAUCAGGCAGAAGGGAAAGACAAAUGAUGAGGACAGGAAAUGCAAGGAAAGGAACCGAAGCAAAAAGCUGACUAAUGUGGGUCAGGAUAAAAAUAAUGUAACCAAAGGAGUGGACAACAAGCAGAAGCAGAAACUGGGGGCUGUCAGAGGGCAGAGGAGGAAAACACUCUGGUUCCAGAGGGUGAGGCCCAGGAGUGGAUGUCUGCUGGAUGCUUCUGACCCUCAUCGAAGGAGACAGUGCCUGCCAGAAGGCACCAGUAUGGAGACAGAGACUGUCAACCACAAAUCAGAAGGCUGAGCCCAUUAAUGGUUCCUCACCAGACCUUCUUUGGUCCACUCGCUGUCUUCACUCUUCGCUCAUCCUUGGAGGGUACCAGAGGCCAUAUUGGGUCUUACUUUUUGCGAUGCCCCAUAGGAGAAAGAAAACCAAAACCUAUGAAUCACAUCCAAAACUAAGUGAAAGAUUUGAACCCGGUAGGGAGUAUUGCUACUGCAAGCAUUUGCUGAAAGGACAGAGAAUCUGAAAACUCGAAAGCUCUGGGUGAAGAGUUGGACUGGAGCGAGGAGAGUGGUCGCCGGCACAAUGAAGUAUUUUGAGUUUGAUGUUUUCUGACCCUCUGAAGCUAAACUAUAGCCCAUUUCAUUUUCAAACAGCCUCCCGGGAGCCCUGGGAUGACCUCAGUCAGGAUGUUCUCAAACAUAAUCUAGCCUGCGCAGUAACCUGACAAGAAUUGGUUUAUUUAAGGAACGCGGUGGGUCUUUUAGCCUCUAAAGGAACCCAUAGGUCAUUUGUAAAGGAACCAGCAUGACCUGUUGGAACUUCUCUUGGCACUGAUGCUCAGCCGUUUCAGGUUAGAACUUUGUUGCUUUGAGCUGGAAGCUCCACUGAAACUUGUGUAAUGGAGACCACAUAAAAUGUAGUUUCCCUUAAGAUUUUAGGAUGAGCAGACAAGGACUUUAAAACAGCUCUAAUUAAUUCAAGAAAGUAGAGGGAAGUGUGGAGAAUUUCACCAGAGAACUGGGAUCUUUUAAAAAAUAGUCAAAUGGGGAUUCUAAAAAUGAAACAAAAAUGCAGCAUGAGAAAUUAAGAACUCAGUAGAUGGAUUUAACAGCAGAAUGGAUGCAGCAGAAGACAAGAUGAGUAAAUGCAACUAUGGGUCAAUUGAAAAUAUUCCUAGAGUGAAAUAAACAAACAGCAAAAUAUCAUUUAAUGGAAUACCUUGCAUCAAGACCAAAAAUACAAACUACUGAUAUACGCAAUAAAUGGAAUGACUCAAGAAGAAUUGCGUAAACAAAUGAAGCAAAACACACAAAAAGUAUAUACUCU